CCGCCCGUCGUCUAAACGGAUAGGGCCCCGCCUUCUAAGCGGGCACAUAGAGGUUCGACUCCUCGGGCGGGCCA
This 74-nucleotide transfer RNA is filed under the name Rhodocyclaceae bacterium. RNAcentral describes it as "tRNA-Arg". It matches the Rfam family "tRNA". Rfam says of the family: Transfer RNA (tRNA) molecules are approximately 80 nucleotides in length. Their secondary structure includes four short double-helical elements and three loops (D, anti-codon, and T loops). Lineage: Bacteria; Pseudomonadati; Pseudomonadota; Betaproteobacteria; Rhodocyclales; Rhodocyclaceae. The record is from RNAcentral.